This 503-nucleotide long non-coding RNA is filed under the name Solanum tuberosum (potato). Its description in RNAcentral is "long non-coding RNA (STUB_LNC004997)". The record is from RNAcentral. Lineage: Eukaryota; Viridiplantae; Streptophyta; Magnoliopsida; Solanales; Solanaceae.
UAAUAUCUAUUUUACCCUUAAUGAAAUGAUUUAUAGCCAUACAAAUUUUUAUCAUUCAUUUUGGACCACAAGUUUUAAAAGUAUUCCUUUCUUUCUUAAACUCCGUGCCGAGUCAAACUACCUCACAUAAAAUGUAAUGGAGGAAGUAAUGAAUUUGUCAUUUUGUGUAUUCUUACUUGUGAAAGGUGCUCUAUCACUCUUAUAACAUGUAAAAAGUUUAAAUUAAGUUUGAACCCGUAUAAAACCGCAUAGACCCGCAACUUGCCCCGUAUUAAUUUAAAAAAAAUUAUUUCAACAUGUCCCGCACAACCUUAAAAUCACCUCACCCCACAUUUAAAAGUAUUCCUUUCUUUCUUAAACUCCGUGCCGAGUCAAACUACCUCACAUAAAAUGGGACGGAGGGAGUAAUAAUUAUGAGAAGUUUAUUGUAUUUGCAUGUUUAUUGGAACCUAAGUUGCAGAUUGAUUCUUAGCGUUUUUCACUUGAGGGGAGAAUGGUAGGAG